Molecule: transfer RNA, 72 nt
Filed under: Candidatus Pacearchaeota archaeon
Lineage: Archaea; Nanobdellati
Description: tRNA-Gly
Rfam family: tRNA
About the family: Transfer RNA (tRNA) molecules are approximately 80 nucleotides in length.
Source: RNAcentral
GCGACCAUAGUUUAUCGGUUAGAACGGUUCGUUGCCAACGAGCAAGGUCGGGUUCAAUUCCCGAUGGUCGCA